UAAUACGUAGGGGGCAAGCGUUGUCCGGAAUCAUUGGGCGUAAAGAGCGUGUAGGCGGCCCGAUAAGUCCGCUGUGAAAGUCCAGGGCUCAACCCUGGAAUGCCGGUGGAUACUGUCGGGCUCGAAUCCGGAAGAGGUGAGUGGAAUUCCUGGUGUAGCGGUGAAAUGCGCAGAUAUCAGGAGGAACACCAAUGGCGAAGGCAGCUCACUGGGACGGUAUUGACGCUGAGACGCGAAAGCGUGGGGAGCAAACAGGAUUAGAUACCCUGGUAGUCCACGCCGUAAACGAUGGUCACUAGGUGUGGGGGGUGUCGACUCCCUCCGUGCCGGAGCUAACGCAUUAAGUGACCCGCCUGGGGAGUACGGCCGCAAGGCUA
Molecule: ribosomal RNA, 377 nt
Filed under: uncultured bacterium
Lineage: Bacteria
Description: bacterial SSU rRNA
Rfam family: Bacterial small subunit ribosomal RNA
Source: RNAcentral